Molecule: ribosomal RNA, 725 nt
Filed under: Gluconobacter japonicus
Lineage: Bacteria; Pseudomonadati; Pseudomonadota; Alphaproteobacteria; Acetobacterales; Acetobacteraceae
Description: bacterial SSU rRNA
Rfam family: Bacterial small subunit ribosomal RNA
Source: RNAcentral
UUUGAAUCCUGGAUCAGAGCGAACGCUGGCGGCAUGCUUAACACAUCCAAGUCGCACGGAUCUUUCGGGAUUAGUGGCGGACGGGUGAGUAACGCGUAGGGAUCUAUCCAUGGGUGGGGGACAACUCCGGGAAACUGGAGCUAAUACCGCAUGAUACCUGAGGGUCAAAGGCGCAAGUCGCCUGUGGAGGAACCUGCGUUCGAUUAGCUAGUUGGUGGGGUAAAGGCCUACCAAGGCGAUGAUCGAUAGCUGGUUUGAGAGGAUGAUCAGCCACACUGGGASUGAGACACGGCCCAGACUCCUACGGGAGGCAGCAGUGGGGAAUAUUGGACAAUGGGCGCAAGCCUGAUCCAGCAAUGCCGCGUGUGUGAAGAAGGUCUUCGGAUUGUAAAGCACUUUCGACGGGGACGAUGAUGACGGUACCCGUAGAAGAAGCCCCGGCUAACUUCGUGCCAGCAGCCGCGGUAAUACGAAGGGGGCUAGCGUUGCUCGGAAUGACUGGGCGUAAAGGGCGCGUAGGCGGUUGAUGCAGUCAGAUGUGAAAUCCCCGGGCUUAACCUGGGAACUGCAUUUGAGACGCAUUGACUAGAGUUCGAGAGAGGGUUGUGGAAUUCCCAGUGUAGAGGUGAAAUUCGUAGAUAUUGGGAAGAACACCGGUGGCGAAGGCGGCAACCUGGCUCGAUACUGACGCUGAGGCGCGAAAGCGUGGGGAGCAAACAGGAUUA